Molecule: long non-coding RNA, 927 nt
Filed under: Mytilus galloprovincialis (Mediterranean mussel)
Lineage: Eukaryota; Metazoa; Mollusca; Bivalvia; Mytilida; Mytilidae
Source: RNAcentral
AUGUCUGUCAGACAGUUUUCACUUGACCUCGACCUCAUUUCAUGGAUCAGUGAACAAGGUUAAGUUUUGGUGGUCAAGUCCAUAUAUCAGAUACUAUAAGCAAUAGGGCUAGUAUAUUCGGUGUAUGGAAGGACUGUAAGGUGUACAUGUCCAACUGGCAGGUGUCAUCUGACCUUGACCUCAUUUUCAUGGUUCAGUGGUUAUAGGUAAAUUUUUGUGUUUUGGUCUGUUUUUUUCGUACUAAAUGCAAUAGGUCUACUAUAUUUGUUAUAUGGAAUGAUUGUAAGGUGUACAUGUCUAGCGGGCAGAUGUCAUGUGACCUUGACCUCAUUUUCAUGGUUCAGUGGUUAUAGUUAAAUUUUUGUGUUUUGGUCUGUUUUUUUUUCAUACUAUAUGCAAUAGGUCUACUAUAUUUGUUGUAUGGAAUGAUUGUAAGGUGUACAUGUCUAGCGGGCAGAUGUCAUGUGACCUUGACCUCAUUUUCAUGGUUCAGUGGUCAAAGUUAAGUUUUUGAGUUUUGGUCUUUUUAUCUAAUACUAUAUGCCAUAGGUCAACUAUAUUUGGUGUAUGGAAAUAUUUUAUGAUCUUUAUGUCAGUAGCGCAGGUUUCUUUUGACCCUGACAUCAUUUUCAUGGUUCAUUGCACAGUGUUAAGUUUUUUUUUGUGUUUUGGUCUAUUUUUCUUAAACUGUAAGUAAUAGGUCAACUAUAUAUGUUGUAUAGAAGCAUUGUUAGCUGUACAUGUCUACCUGGCAUGGUUCAUCUGACCUUGACCUCAUUUUCAUGGUUCAUUGGUCUUUGUUUAGUUAUCUUGGUUAAUGUUAAGUUUAUGAGACAGUUGUAAUAAAGCUUUAUACUUAGGACUAUCUACAUAAUAUCAAUGAUUAGUAUAGAAGGCGAGACAUUUCAGCGUGUGCACUCUUGUUAU